UCGCCCAAACCCUAACUCAUAUCCCCUCCAUUCCCCCGCCUCCCCUUCUCUCCCUCUCCCCGAUCUAGAUUGACAACGUCGGCUCCCUCUCUCCCUCGUCGGCAGGUCCCUCCACCGUGGUCCCUCCUACCCUAGCCCCGGCCAUUCUCCCUUCUGCCACCCUCUCAUGUCCCAGUCUCUCGCCUUUGUCCACCUGCAGCCUAUUGAGCGCGCCGCCCAACCUCACCAGCAACAUAUGCACUGCCGCCCAGCAGCCACGGCGUCGCGGCUGGCCGGCUCGUCGGCGUGCGCAUGCUUCAAUGCACGCCGCUCAAUCGAGCUGGUCGGACCGCGGCGGCGCGUGACCUAGGGUUUUGGUCAGUUUGCCCCAUGCCGGCCACGACUCUCCGGCAACCAGGACGGGGACGACAUCGACGACAUCCUCUAACGGUCGUCGUCCACCUCGCAUUGCAGGGAGGGGUCGGUCCUCUCCUCGGACGAGGGGCCGGCCGUGUUCGUCGUUCCACACCCUGGCAGUCGAUCCCAUCCGCCACUGCUUCACUAGCCUCCUCCGCCGGCGUCUCCGCGAGGGCGCUUGACGCUAGGCAGGCCAUGGACGCGCUGGACCUCAAGGCCGUCCGUGCUGCUCCUGCUCCGGUGCGCGGAUGCUGGAGGGGUCGUGCCUGAGGAGACCGAGCUCGCCAUGCUGCUCCUUUUCAAUGCCAACAAGGGAAGGGCCGACGAGGAGAACAGGGUCCCUACACCAACAUGUUAGGUUUCCCUGGCUGCUCGGUAGUUCUCGGACCGCUCCCUAAUUUUCCUUGGUCUCGUAGGUAACUGGCGCAACCACUGUAACUUGAGACGGUGGACUGGAGGAAGGAUCAUGAGAACAACUACACAAUGUUAUGGAUGGACAGGAUGAUGGUAAGUAAUUCUUGAGUAUGAUAGCAUGUCAUCUAGCUCAACCAUGUUGACUUUGAAACCAUACAAUCUUGAGCUAUCUCAGUUUAUCCAUACCUUGCAAGACAUUUAGUGAGUAUAUUUGAGAAACCAUACAAGGCUUCACUGUAUUCACCUUCUAUCAUGCUGCCCUUUCACACUAUGAUCUUGUUUAGAUGCACACCGCUCACUUUUUAAGAAAAUGUGUGAUGUAAAUACUGGGGAUGUGGAUAUAUAAUGUAUGUAAAUGUGGCUGAAACAAAUUAUUGUAAAUUGCAGAAUGUUCUAUUGUUUCAUAAGGAUAAACCAGGAUAUUUUAUUUACCAUGUAUUAUUUGUCACCGAGUAAUGAUCUGGGGUUGUGUGUGUAGGGAGGGUGAAUCAGAUCUAGGAGCACAUUGACUACGAGGUUUGUCGACAUGACAAGUACCGUAUGUGUGUCUACUCGUCCAACCUGAUAAUUCUCCAUUUGGUCACCUUUGAUUGAUAUCCUCCAAAAUAGGAGGAGAUUCUGCUUUUGCUAAAUCUCCUUGUGUAUGUGCUUCUUGCACCUAUUGAUGCUACAAGUUAAGUAAUCAGAUGAGCCCUUCAUGUGUUGUAUGCAAGAUUCCAACAUGUUCUUCAUUUUGUUCUGAUGCAACAGUCAGCUGGAUGCGGGAGAAUCAAUGCACAUAAACUUGUUCUUUCUCUAUUUAAAAGCAUUGAAGAUCAUAAUAUUACGCACUAUCAAUUUGUUUUUUCUUGGCAAUCGGUAUUGCUAAUACCCCUUUCGGUCUUUAACAUUUGUUUUUUCUCGUGGACACAUGUAUGAACACUUCACCUGUCUUCAUUCUUUCUAGAUCUCAUAAGUAGUAAUUUCUUAAAGAUUGUAUAACCUGUAUACUUCACUUUAAUUCAUGUGUGACAACAGUAAAGGAAAUCAUCUGAUGAACUGUUCACGAUAUAAUUUUUUAUAGGCUUAGAUUUAAUUAAGGUCUAUCUAUUGUAGUUUAAGCUUGAACAUAUCAUUAGGGCUAGUUCUUGUGGUGUUUUUUGGGCUUCUAGAAUAAGUUGCCCCUUACCCAGCUUAUUUUAGAAGCCCAACCAUAUAGUGUCAAAAACACUCUUAUAUUAUGGGAUGGAGGGAGUAGGCUUCUAAGCAAAUAAUUUUCUAGAAUAAGCUAGGUAGGGGGCAACCUAUUCCAGUUUUUCUAGAAGGCAGCAAAAGAACUGGCCUUUAGUAAUUAGUAUGAUCUUCUGAUGUUGGAGUCUCGAGGUGGAGAGUUUACACAAUAUGAUAUAAUAUGAAUUUUAACUUACUAGUGUUCAAUAUUUCUAACCUGAUUUAUGGAAGAAACAAAAGCUAGGCCACACAGCCACAUAAAGUCCUCUAAAAUGUUCACUGCUUGCAUCCAUGUGACUUCCUUAUAUACACUAUCUGCAUUCUACUCUCAGCUUGCUGCAUUUUUCUUAUUUCAUGUUAUGCUUAAUUUGCUUCUAAUGUAUUGUCCCUCCCUAUGGCAGGACGAAACACUUCUUGGAAUUCUUAAAGAGGAAGUCAAUGGAGCCAUGCUGUUGUUGUGCAACAGGCUAUGUUUUUCGUAAUACCAUUUGUCUGGGCUGUGUAAUCUUAGUUUGUGUGUGCUGGGAUACUCAAAAAGCUAUCUAUCUAAUAUAAAUCUGUAUUAUGUUGUCUAGCCUCUGUAAUCUUAUUUUGUGUGUGCUGGGAUAUUAAAAAAGCUAUCUGUCUAAUUUAAAUA
Long non-coding RNA from Triticum aestivum (bread wheat), 2656 nucleotides. RefSeq lists it as uncharacterized. The record is from RefSeq and is a predicted model, not a curated record. The transcript is spliced from 2 exons. NCBI's taxonomy places the organism in Eukaryota, Viridiplantae, Streptophyta, Magnoliopsida, Poales, Poaceae.